AGUAGAUUAUAAGCUUUGUAAUGAUACCUUACAAGAGACCUUUUGCAUGAAGCAUAUUUUAGUUACAUUAUAUUCACACUCCCUAUAUAGAGUGCGUCACAGGGGGAAACUCUGCUAAUUGGUUAAGCCUGCACUAGUCUGCCCACUAGUUGGCAGACAAAAGAGCCUGCACCAUAUACUAUUAGGAGUUUUAUUAAUUAGUCACACCAGCAGUGAGGCAUCCACUGGCACGUACAGAAAGAAUGCCGUCUGUAAUGAAAAGCAUAAGUGCCUGUUUUCACAAAGCAGCCCCUCCGGCAACUCAGCCAGAAAAGUGAAAUGGAGAAAAUGUACGUAACUCACAGACUGAACUAUGCAAAGAACAUUUUCGUCAUGGGCAAGAACAGUGAAAAAUAUCAUCUUUUUGUGUCUUUGCUAAAGCAGAAGGUGUUUUAGAAACUGGAGUUCCUGGAUAUGAGUUAUUCACAAAGCAAAAUGUGUUGCAUCACACAGCUCUGUUUGCACAUCUCCUUUGCAUUCACAACAUAGUCUUAACUGUAUGUGUAAUUUAGUGAUUACAGACUCAUGUUGUCUGGGGACACUACCCCAGAAAUGGGCGCAGCUGUUUCUGGGUUAUGUAAUCACUUUAUUGAAAUAGAAGGCUCUUUUUCAGACUGCACAUCUGAAUUAAUGCCCCAGCAUGGGCUAGUGGUCACUGUGCGGCUGGAGGUGCUGUUUUUCAAUGAGAUAUAACACCAAGACCUGAUUGUUUCAGUCAUUAAAGAUCCCAUGGCACUUCCCAUAAGAAAAGUGUACAGUAAAGCUUGUGGUUGUUGUGUGCUGUUAAUCAAGGAGCCACGUUUCCCCCCAGAGGUGGCUGGAUUUCAGUACAGGGUGAAAUGAUGCAUUUAAUGUGUGUGUGUCCAUGCACGCCUAUUUAGUUAUAUAUCAGUUAAUUCAUGGAUGGGGUUUUCAGAGGCACCCUGGGCUGCUGUAACGCUGCUUCCAUUGAAGUCAGUGCUUUUUUUAUUGGCUGAGGGCUUUUGAAAAAUCUCAUUUGUAACCCCUCUCUAGAGACUAGUUUCAGGGAUAGAUUCAGCUCAGGUUUAUUGGUGGCAUAACCCCCUGCUAGAUGGGCACGGGUAGUCAUAGCCACAGCUUCCCUUUAUCUCCCCACUGGGGGCCAUGGGAAGCAGUGCAGCCCAAACGUUGCCUUGGCUGAGAAGAGCAUGGCUAAGGUGUCAGGGGGUGUACUGAUUCAAUGCACUUUCUGCAGGUACAGCUCCUGUAGAACACCACUUCUGUUGCCCCCCAGGAAGAAACCCAAUGGAGGGUGAGGAUGGUAAGAAUUUUCCUUUACCUGCUCUGCUUUGGGAUGAACCUUCUAGGAUCCAGGGAACUUUGUAGACACAGGAAGACUUACUUUAUAUCUCCCACCACUGACAAGAGGGAAUUUGGCACUAAUUUCACAUAUUGCUUUGAGAUCUUUAGCAGUAUGAUAAAUGGAAGUGCUCUAUAGAUGGAAAAUGUGAAUGAUUAUAAAGUUAUUAUUUACAAAGCAAUCUUUGCUUUCCUUUGGGAUGCAGAAGUGUAAGUGGUUUGCAAGCCAAUGAAACCAAAAUCAACUUCUUGACUCAUUUUAUGUAACUUUUGUUAACACUCCUCUGGGUAUUUUCCUCUCUUCUUGCUCUGUCCACUUCAUCAGCACAAUGGUGCAAAAUUAGCUAUUGAAUCUACAGGAAGGAAGCUCCAGGAAACAGGUGACACAAUAUCAGGCUAGACUUUAAAAGCAUACUUCCUCCACCAGCUCAGAUUUAUUCUGUAUCAGAUUUUUAAAGGGAAAUAGUAAAUUACGCUGGUGUGUCCCUUAGCUGAGAAACAAGCCAUUUUUGAUCAGAUGCAUUAUUCUGGUGCAGAGGAUGCAGUAUUCCACCGGGUAUAGGUGAGGCUGAAGUCUGGAGUCAUUCAUUUUGUCCUCUAUUCAAAAGUGAGCAUUCAGAGAUGUGAUUUAUUCAUCCUAGAGCUGUGUGAACAUUUGGAAGAAACUCCUUCAGGAACACUAAAAAUAGCUCCCUCUCUGUUUAGCCUUUUUUCUGCUGUAAAAAGAUCAGAUGCUUUGACAAGAAGGGGGAUUUUUUGAUGUGUGCUUGCACAUUGUUGUGAACACACAUUCCUGAUAUACAUAUGGGAAAUCAGACCAAUAAAUAAAUCAUACUAGUUUUGUAAUAAUGGCAACUAAUGCCUACAAGUUUAUAGUCAAAGAUGCCCUCAGAACAACUGCUUUGGGAAUUGUAAGAACGUGUGCCUCAGGGCAGCAUAUUUCUUUUCAUUCAUUAGCGAUGACCAUACACACUCACAACUUCCUUUUCACUCCACCUUGAGUUAUAUAACACAUAAUAGUGGGUGGCUCUAUUGGAUACCCUCUGCUUCAUUACAAGGCACUCUGCUUUCAACCUUGUGCUUCUCAACACAAGUAUCUUCUAUAGCCACACAUCCUGGGCCAACUUGAGGUCAUAUGGUAAGAGGAUGGUCACCACUCCUGAAACAGACUUGCUGGUAUGUGAAUCUGCAACCACAUGCACACAAAGUGCAAUAAUUUCUACAGCUCUGCUCAGCAACUGCACCUGAGGGUGUGGUAUAUAGGACAAGUUAGUAGGUCAGAGUAGGGGGGUGUGAAUGAUGAUAAGUUGGUUUAACACACAAAGUGGGGUGGAAGGGCAGGGUUGAAGCAGGCAAAUCAAUCACUAAGAGGGUAUGUUUUUUUUGUUUUGUUUUUUUGUUCUUAAAAAGCCAGGAUGGCAAUAAAAAAGGUCUGCCUUAGCAUGUAAAAUAAAUGUAUUUAUAUUUGCUCUAUUUGACCUGUAACUUACCUUCAUAUAUACACUCUGAAUUUGUCCCCUUAUCCUUUGGUGUUGGAUAUUGUUUGGGAUUUUAAAUAUAGUUUUGUUACAUUUUUAAAUGAAAGGAAUUUUUCAGAAAAUAAAGGGACUUAAUUAUAACCGUAUUCAUGAAAAGUGAUUAUUUUAUUUAAAAAAUAACUGAAAAUAAUUAAAUCUUUUCCCCCACAGUAUUGGACCGUCCCUCUGUAAUGAGUAUUGAAAUUUACUAUUUCCCUCCCAUUAAAAUGUAAUUUUGUUUUUAAUAAGCAUCAGUAAACCAGCUUGGAUUCACUAAAAACUGGCUUGAACCUGUUCUGAGUUUUGAAUCAGUUCAGUUACUUCAAAAUUUCAUGUGACUGGACUUCCUGAGCACAGCUGAGUCUGGAAGGAGAGGUUUCAUAGGAGUGGCUAGGUUAACUUGUCAAGAUUUCUAUCCAAAAUACAUUAAAUAAUCAUCCAGUCCAUUAUAGUUUUAGGGCAGUUCUUUCGGUAAAAUCAUUGCAGUCAAAGAAUCAUUGCACUGCAUAGUCACGUUGUAUAAUGACUAACAGAAUGUCUAUGGAACAAAAAAGCACUUUUUUCUUAUUGUCCCUUUUGUGUAGAGUUUGUGUAAGUAUGAAAUCUAAAUAAAUAUAUAAAUCAAUUACAUCCAUUGUCAGUGCCAAUGGGCAGAGUAUGCAUAAAGGGUGCCUUUUACACUAUUGUGAAACAGAUAGGUGUUUGUGAUAUUCAGGCAAAUUUCUUGUCUCAGCUGCCUUUCUGUGCUGAUCUAUCUUUUGUGCUGCAAUUGUUUUUAAAAUGUCCUUGGUGCUCCAGAAAGAAGAAUACUGUUGUUGAGUGAUCAAAAUCAGGUAAUAGCACACUGCUUUUAAAGACCCCAUGUUAUUCUGGUUUGGCUCAAGAGAGUAAAAAUGACAUGUUAUGCUCUUUUUUCCAUUUCAGUAUAUUCAAUAUACUCUUCUUCCAUUUGUGGGUAUAAACUUGGCUCAAUUUGCAAGAGGAAUACAUCUGAGGCAGAGUUGGGAGUUUCAGGGAACAAAUUGAACAGGCCCGUCAGACAAAACUAUUGUAUGGACUGUGGCAGAGGGCAAUGGCAGUGGAAAAUCCAGGAGGGCAUGGGUUUGCAGCUGUGGGGCCAUAGAAAGUCAAUGAAGCUGAUGAAGUGGUCAGGAAGGGGAUAUGAUGAAUGCAGCAAGAAAGAGAACGACAUAAAAUAUGACACAUCAGCGGAAUUAUUUUGAAAUAGAAUAUUUUGCCUUGUUUUCCACCAGGCAUCAGAGACUCUACGUUUAAGGUUAAAACGGGUCUAUAACGUGGUUGUACGCUGGAGCUGUGCCCAUUUACACCAGCUGAUGACGUGGCUCCACAUUUUCAGCCAAUGCAAACAAGGAAAUCCUUUGCGAGAUGAUUUAUUGGACGUGCGUCACCAUUUAGUUGAUUCCUGUGGCUGAGAAGAGACAGCUGAUGAAUCUGAAGAUUAAUGGGACACACCUGAUCCAGUCUGCUUGUUAGUGCAAUCAGUUCUGCAACUCUAAUCUGCUUUGAAGUUAUGUCUCUCACAUUGUUAUUGUUACCAAACCAAUAUGUCUGUCUAAUUUGCAAAGUUAUUGGUUAGAAACCUAAGCAUUUGUUGUGAAAUCUCAGUUGUUGAAACCCACUGAAGCCACUGGGCCUACCUGUUUUGUUAGUUUGAGGCCUAAAAUUUCCUAAUCUAUGAAAGAGUGCUGGACAAUACCAACAUACUUUACAGAAUCAUUCCUGCAUUCUAGAGAAGAUAUACAAUAUAACAAAUAACCACAUAUAGGCACUUUCACAGUUUGUAAGGGAAUGAUCUAUCCCAUCUAGCACUGCAAAUCAUUUUAGAUUUUUGUAUAUGUAUGUGAAACACUAAAAAGUAAUUAAAAUUAUGGUAGUGAAGUUGAUUGUGAUGUAUU
Long non-coding RNA from Chelonia mydas (Green sea turtle), 4792 nucleotides. RefSeq lists it as uncharacterized. Lineage: Eukaryota; Metazoa; Chordata; Testudines; Cheloniidae. The transcript is spliced from 5 exons. The record is from RefSeq and is a predicted model, not a curated record.